This 391-nucleotide long non-coding RNA is filed under the name Pongo abelii (Sumatran orangutan). RNAcentral describes it as "lincRNA". The record is from RNAcentral. Lineage: Eukaryota; Metazoa; Chordata; Mammalia; Primates; Hominidae.
AUACCAUGAACUCUUCAGCAGAGAGCUGCUCAUAGAAUCAAGUGGGGUUAGGAAUUUCUGGAUAACAUGAUAACUCCUGAGAUUAGUGGCACAGUGAGAUGGGUUUAGCCUUGUCUCACUCCCCAGUCCCAUCCUCUAACCCCACACUACCCCAGCCAUCCCAUCAUCCCGUGCUUCUCUUCCUACCUAAUUGGGUACAGAAUGAGAAAAACAACACCACCAAAAAAUAGAAACUCUUUAAUAAUUUCAGCAUGAUUAGAAAGAAUGUAGUCUCCCCGAGUAGGACUACUGUGAAGGAGAGAACAUUCAUUUGAAAAUGGUACUUGGAAGUAGGAUAAAGAUCACUUUCAGAGAGGAGUACACCAAAAAAAUUCCCACCCAAGGUGUCAAU